RNAcentral lists this ribosomal RNA (468 nucleotides) under uncultured bacterium. RNAcentral's name for it is "partial 16S ribosomal RNA". It matches the Rfam family "Bacterial small subunit ribosomal RNA", at positions 28 to 507 of the family's 1533-position model. The record is from RNAcentral.
GACGAACGCUGGCGGCGUGCUUAACACAUGCAAGUCGAACGGAAAGGCCCUGCUUUUGUGGGGUGCUCGAGUGGCGAACGGGUGAGUAACACGUGAGUAACCUGCCCUUGACUUUGGGAUAACUUCAGGAAACUGGGGCUAAUACCGUAUAGGAGCUCCUGCUGCAUUGUGGGGGUUGGAACGUUUCGGCGGUUGGGGAUGGACUCGCGGCUUAUCAGCUUGUUGGUGGGGUAGUGGCUUACCAAGGCUUUGACGGGUAGCCGGCAUGAGAGGGUGACCGGCCACCAUGGGACUGAGAGACGGACCAGACUCCUACGGGAGGCAGCAGUGGGGAAUAUUGCACAGUGGGCGGAAGCCUGAUGCAGAAACGCCGCGGGCGGGAUGACGGCCUUCGGGUUGUAAAACGCUUUCGCCUGUGACGAAGCGUGAGUGACGGUAAUGGGUAAAGAAGCACCGGCUAACUACGUG